UGCUGCUUCGCUGACGAGUGGCGGACGGGUGAGUAAUGUCUGGGAAACUGCCUGAUGGAGGGGGAUAACUACUGGAAACGGUAGCUAAUACCGCAUAACGUCGCAAGACCAAAGAGGGGGACCUUCGGGCCUCUUGCCAUCGGAUGUGCCCAGAUGGGAUUAGCUAGUAGGUGGGGUAACGGCUCACCUAGGCGACGAUCCCUAGCUGGUCUGAGAGGAUGACCAGCCACACUGGAACUGAGACACGGUCCAGACUCCUACGGGAGGCAGCAGUGGGGAAUAUUGCACAAUGGGCGCAAGCCUGAUGCAGCCAUGCCGCGUGUAUGAAGAAGGCCUUCGGGUUGUAAAGUACUUUCAGCGGGGAGGAAGGGAGUAAAGUUAAUACCUUUGCUCAUUGACGUUACCCGCAGAAGAAGCACCGGCUAACUCCGUGCCAGCAGCCGCGGUAAUACGGAGGGUGCAAGCGUUAAUCGGAAUUACUGGGCGUAAAGCGCACGCAGGCGGUUUGUUAAGUCAGAUGUGAAAUCCCCGGGCUCAACCUGGGAACUGCAUCUGAUACUGGCAAGCUUGAGUCUCGUAGAGGGGGGUAGAAUUCCAGGUGUAGCGGUGAAAUGCGUAGAGAUCUGGAGGAAUACCGGUGGCGAAGG
RNAcentral lists this ribosomal RNA (647 nucleotides) under uncultured bacterium. RNAcentral's name for it is "bacterial SSU rRNA". It matches the Rfam family "Bacterial small subunit ribosomal RNA", at positions 78 to 721 of the family's 1533-position model. The record is from RNAcentral.